UACGUAGGGGGCAAGCGCUAUCCGGAUUUACUGGGUGUAAAGGGGGCGCAGACGGCGAUGCAAGCCAGGAGUGAAAGCCCGGGGCCCAACCCCGGGACUGCUCUUGGAACUGCGUGGCUGGAGUGCAGGAGGGGCAGGCGGAAUUCCUGGUGUAGCGGUGAAAUGCGUAGAUAUCAGGAGGAACACCGGUGGCGAAGGCGGCCUGCUGGACUGCAACUGACGUUGAGGCCCGAAAGCGUGGGGAGCAAACAGG
RNAcentral lists this ribosomal RNA (253 nucleotides) under uncultured bacterium. Its description in RNAcentral is "partial 16S ribosomal RNA". It matches the Rfam family "Bacterial small subunit ribosomal RNA", at positions 524 to 776 of the family's 1533-position model. The record is from RNAcentral.